This 497-nucleotide ribosomal RNA is filed under the name uncultured bacterium. Its description in RNAcentral is "partial 16S ribosomal RNA". It matches the Rfam family "Bacterial small subunit ribosomal RNA", at positions 28 to 507 of the family's 1533-position model. The record is from RNAcentral.
GAUGAACGCUGGCGGCGUGCCUAAUACAUGCAAGUCGAGCGAACGGACGAGAAGCUUGCUUUUCUGAUGUUAGCGGCGGACGGGUGAGUAACACGUGGAUAACCUACCUAUAAGACUGGGAUAACUUCGGGAAACCGGAGCUAAUACCGGAUAAUAUUUUGAACCGCAUGGCUCAAAAGUGAAAGACGGUCUUGCUGUCACUUAUAGAUGGAUCCGCGCUGCAUUAGCUAGUUGGUAAGGUAACGGCUUACCAAGGCAACGAUGCAUAGCCGACCUGAGAGGGUGAUAGCCCCCACACGAACUGUGACACGGUCCACACUCCUCUGGGAGGCAGCAGAAGGGAAUCUUCCGCAAAGUGCGAAAGACUGUCGCAGCAACGCCGCGUGAGUGAUGAAGGUCUUCGGAUCGUAUAACUCUCUUUUUAGGGAAAAACACAUGUGUAAGUAACUGUGCACAUCUUGACGGUACCUAAUCAGAAAGCCACGGCUAACUACGUG